Molecule: ribosomal RNA, 433 nt
Filed under: uncultured bacterium
Lineage: Bacteria
Description: partial 16S ribosomal RNA
Rfam family: Bacterial small subunit ribosomal RNA
Source: RNAcentral
AACGAACGCUGGCGGCAUGCCUAACACAUGCAAGUCGAACGAUACCUUCGGGUUUAGUGGCGCACGGGUGCGUAACGCGUGGGAACCUGCCCUUAGGUUCGGAAUAACUUCCCGAAAUGGUUUCUAAUACCGGCUAAUGUCUUCGGACCAAAUAUUUUUAGCAUUUUGAUGGGCCCGCGUUUGUUUAGCUUGUUUGUAGGGUAAAUUCCUAUCAAGGCGCCGAUCCAUAUCUGGUCAAAUAGGAUGAACGGCUACACUGGGAGUGAGACAAGGCCCAGAAUCCUACAGGAGGGAGAAGUGAAGAAUAUUGAACGAAGGGCGAAAGAAUGAGAGAACAAUGCCGCGUGAAUGAUGCAGGGCUUAGAGUUGUAAAGCUGUAUUACCCGGGAGGAUAAUGACAGUACCGGGAGAAUAAGCCCCGGCUAACACCGUG